UUGGCGUCUCCAUGUAUUGUUUACGUGCGGAUGGGGGGUUUGGGGCUAUAUGCCUCGGGUUAUCACAAAGACGCCAUUCUCUGCCUUUGCAUAUUGACAGUUCUCACAGAGGCGGCGAGAAGAAGUGAAAGUGAAAGGCAGGAAAUGGAAGCUUCAGGUGUUGCAGGACCGCGUCUCAGCCGGCGGGUUUGAAAGUCACGCUUUGAGAAGCAGUGAUCAAGUGGCCCAAUACUUUUGAUGGAAGGUCUUCCGUGUUCCUGUGUGAUGCAAUAGAGGCCAAAAAAGCGGAGACAUCUGGCAGGAAACUGCGACGCACUUUCAAAUGAGAGACGACGCCAUGUCUGCUGGCCUACGUCCAUUGUCCCCACCAGGAUUUGGAUCAGCGUUGGCGUCUGUGUCAGGUAGGG
Molecule: long non-coding RNA, 407 nt
Organism: Nerophis ophidion (straightnose pipefish)
Lineage: Eukaryota; Metazoa; Chordata; Actinopteri; Syngnathiformes; Syngnathidae
Exons: 3
Source: RefSeq, a predicted model, not a curated record